This 466-nucleotide ribosomal RNA is filed under the name uncultured bacterium. RNAcentral describes it as "partial 16S ribosomal RNA". It matches the Rfam family "Bacterial small subunit ribosomal RNA", at positions 28 to 507 of the family's 1533-position model. The record is from RNAcentral.
GAUGAACGCUGGCGGCGUGCUUAACACAUGCAAGUCGAACGAUGAAGCCCAGCUUGCUGGGUGUUUUAGUUGCGAACGGGUGGGUGACACGGGAGUAACCUGCCCUUAACUCUGUGAUAGGCCUUGACGACGGGGACUAAUACCGAAUAGGAGCUUCCACCUCCUGGUGGGUGUUGGAAAGAUUUAUCGGUUUUGGAUGGACUCGCGGCCUAUCAGCUUGUUUGUUAGGUAAUGGCUCCCCAAGGCGACGCCGGGUAGCCGGCCUGUGAGGGGGACCGGCGACACUGGGACUGAGACACGGACCAGACUCGUACGGGAGGCAGCAGUGGGGAAUAUUGCACAAUGGGCGCAAGCCUGAUGCAGCGACGCCGCGUGAGGGAUGACGGCCUUCGGGUUGUAAACCUCUUUCAGUAGGGAAGAAGCGAUAGUGACGGUACCUGAAGAAGAAGCACCGGCUAACUACGUG